This 61-nucleotide transfer RNA is filed under the name Ictidomys tridecemlineatus (thirteen-lined ground squirrel). RNAcentral's name for it is "Spermophilus tridecemlineatus (thirteen-lined ground squirrel) tRNA". It matches the Rfam family "tRNA", at positions 6 to 65 of the family's 71-position model. Rfam says of the family: Transfer RNA (tRNA) molecules are approximately 80 nucleotides in length. Their secondary structure includes four short double-helical elements and three loops (D, anti-codon, and T loops). Further hydrogen bonds mediate the characteristic L-shaped molecular structure. tRNAs have two regions of fundamental functional importance: the anti-codon, which is responsible for specific mRNA codon recognition, and the 3' end, to which the tRNAs corresponding amino acid is attached (by aminoacyl-tRNA synthetases). tRNAs cope with the degeneracy of the genetic code in two manners: having more than one tRNA (with a specific anti-codon) for a particular amino acid; and 'wobble' base-pairing, i.e. permitting non-standard base-pairing at the 3rd anti-codon position. Lineage: Eukaryota; Metazoa; Chordata; Mammalia; Rodentia; Sciuridae. The record is from Rfam by way of RNAcentral.
UGUGGCUCAGGGGUAGAGCGCUUACCUAGCAUGUAUGAGGUACUGAGUUCGAGCCUCAGCA